UGCUAGUACCAGGACACUACUGGGAGGC
Molecule: non-coding RNA, 28 nt
Filed under: Homo sapiens (human)
Lineage: Eukaryota; Metazoa; Chordata; Mammalia; Primates; Hominidae
Source: RNAcentral